Molecule: ribosomal RNA, 254 nt
Filed under: uncultured bacterium
Lineage: Bacteria
Description: partial 16S ribosomal RNA
Rfam family: Bacterial small subunit ribosomal RNA
Source: RNAcentral
UACGUAGGGGGCAAGCGUUGUCCGGAAUCAUUGGGCGUAAAGCGCGUGUAGGCGGUCCGGUAAGUCCGCUGUGAAAGUCGGGGGCUCAACCCUCGGAUGCCGGUGGAUACGGUCGGGCUUGAGUACGGGAGAGGCGAGUGGAAAUUCCUGGUGUAGCGGUGAAAUGCGUAGAUAUCUGGAGGAACACCGGUGGCGAAGGCGGCAUCCUGGACCGGUAUUGACGCUGAGGCACGAAAGCCAGGGGAGCAAACGGG